This 443-nucleotide ribosomal RNA is filed under the name uncultured bacterium. RNAcentral describes it as "partial 16S ribosomal RNA". It matches the Rfam family "Bacterial small subunit ribosomal RNA", at positions 338 to 795 of the family's 1533-position model. The record is from RNAcentral.
CCUACGGGUGGCAGCAGUGGGGAAUAUUGGGCAAUGGGCGCAAGCCUGACCCAGCAACGCCGCGUGAAGGAAGAAGGCUUUCGGGUUGUAAACUUCUUUUGUCAGGGACGAAGCAAGUGACGGUACCUGACGAAUAAGCCACGGCUAACUACGUGCCAGCAGCCGCGGUAAUACGAAUGUGGCAAGCGUUAUCCGGAGUUACUGGGGGUAAAGGGCGUGGAGGCGGGACUGCAAGUCAGAUGUGAAAACCACGGGCGCAACCUGUGGCCUGCAUUUGAAAAUGUAGUUCUUGAGUACUGGAGAGGCAGACGGAAUUCCUAGUGUAGCGGUGAAAUGCGUAGAUAUUAGGAGGAACACCAGUGGCGAAGGCGGUCUGCUGGACAGCAACUGACGCUGAGGCGCGAAAGCGUGGGGAGCAAACAGGAUUAGAUACCCCAGUAGUC